CAUCUUUCAACCUUCCCCUUGAUUAUGCAGGAGACAAAAUCAACUUACAGCCUGCAAGAAAAGAUGACAUAUAUGAUGAAAUUGGAACAAUUGGAUUACAAGUACAGAAUAAGGCCUGGGAGCUGCUGGUUACAGUUGUUGUACCAUUGGAGAAAGGAAAUUGCUUCAACAUCACUUGAUAAAGCCAGAGGAUGGUACCACUGAGAAGGUGGUACCUUCUACCCUGCUAUGGGAAUUUGUUCAUCCAAAAUUUUCUUGAACUUUGGCAUUCUACAUCCCUGGAUUCAGAGAAGGUAGCCAAGGAUUUCUGCAUCUUUUAAGUCGAAUUUCGACAGUCCCACCCCACCUUGGAGCUGUGCAGCAGUGUAACAGGAG
This 375-nucleotide long non-coding RNA is filed under the name Cyanistes caeruleus (blue tit). RNAcentral describes it as "lncRNA (ENSCCEG00000004484.1)". Lineage: Eukaryota; Metazoa; Chordata; Aves; Passeriformes; Paridae. The record is from RNAcentral.